UUCUCAACACCAAAAAGAACUCAUUCAUUAAAAAUUACAACCUAGACAACCCUAAACCCUUCUUUUUCUUCUUCCAACCUCCUCCAGAUUGCAACUCCCUUCGUCGACUCCGGCCACUCUCGUUGUGUUGUCUUGUUCGCUAUCUCACUGCGCCAUUCUUGCUACGCCGCGUUUCAAUCGACAAUUGCUCCGCCGCGUGGAAUCCUACACGUUCCUCCCACUGCGUCCAAACCACUAGUAUAUCUCUUCAUCCUUUCUCAAACCUCUUUCUCUCUACUAUCUUCAACAAACCCUAAUCCCCAAAAACCCUGAAUUCAAUUUCGAACAACCCUAAAUUCAUCUCUCUCGUUUCACUUCGCGAUUUGCAAUAGCAAGUAAAUUCUAUUCUCUUUCCAAAUCAUUUCAGUUUGCGAUUUCAUUAUUUAUUUUGGUAAUCUUGCUUGUUAAGUGUCAUUAAUUCACGAUUUGCUGAAUGAGGUUGUCGGUUUGCGAUUUGUUCUGUUUUUGAGCUGAUAUGAGUGCUAAUCUAAAAUAUCAAUUUACACUGACUUUGGUAUCCACCAUAUAAAGAAAUGUAGUAAUUCAUCCUUUCAGAAAAGGAAGAGGUAAGCACUCACUAACUGAUUACCGUGCAGAAAAAGAGUCAAAUAGAGAAUGAGUAAUCACUUGACACCUUUUUCUUGCUAAAACAAUCAUGGUCGACCAUGCCAAUAGAUAUAGCAAAAUCUCAAGCCAUGAUUGCCGCUGAAGCCAUCCCCAUCUUGCAGAUGCUCACGAAAACCUGCCCACCAAGUUUCCAUGAGAGGGCGAAUACUCUUCUGCACUACUCACCAGGUUGUUUGACUGUCACCAUUAAACGUGGAAACAACCUCAAGCAAACAAUGGGAAGCACUAAUGCAUUCUGCCAGUUGACCAUAGGCAAUAGCCCUCUAAAACAAACCAAGGUAGUGAACCAUAGUACUUCUCCGGAAUGGAAAGAAGGAUUCACAUGGGCAUUUGAUAUACCUCCCAAGGGCCAAAAGCUCCAUAUGGUAUGCAAAAGCAAGAAUACUUUUGGGAAGGGCUGCAGAACACUCUCAUUUGAGCAUCCCAUAAACUGAAUUUUGGAAGAAAGGAAAGCAAUACUAUCAACUUCUGCAAAACUCUCUUAUUUUUGCUUCAGCUUUAUAUGUUGAAUUUACAGUUGGGACCGCAAAGACAUUUGUUGGUUUGGCAGCAUGUCGUGCAUAUGCAGUGAAGAACUCUUCUGCCUAGUCAUCAAACAACUUAAAUUAUGCCAUCUCUUGAGUUGUAGAUGUCCAAUUGGAGUCAACCCAAGUGCACAUGAAAGCUAAGCUCCAGAGCUACAACGUUCAUGAAGACAUCGGAACCAAAUUCAGACUCAAAAGAGGCGAAAUAUGCAAUAUAUGUCGGACAACAGAUGUUGUGCGCCUGAAGCGCGCCAGACGCGCCUGAGGCGCGUUUCCAGCCUUCCAACCAUGAAAACGCAAUUUUUCACUGUUUUAGGGAUCUUUUUGACUCUUGGGAAGUUGGGAGACUUGUGCCCUAGCAUAGAAACUCAAAGACGGUCGUUUCUAACAUCAUUGAAGCAGUUUUAUCAA
Molecule: RNA transcript, 1601 nt
Organism: Cicer arietinum (chickpea)
Lineage: Eukaryota; Viridiplantae; Streptophyta; Magnoliopsida; Fabales; Fabaceae
Gene name: protein CELLULOSE SYNTHASE INTERACTIVE 3-like
Source: RefSeq, a predicted model, not a curated record